RNAcentral lists this long non-coding RNA (400 nucleotides) under Citrus sinensis (sweet orange). RNAcentral's name for it is "long non-coding RNA (CSIN_LNC001599)". Lineage: Eukaryota; Viridiplantae; Streptophyta; Magnoliopsida; Sapindales; Rutaceae. The record is from RNAcentral.
UGCAUGCUUUUCAUCUCCACAGCCACUCCCAUUCUUGGCUGUGGCACGUGUGGCAAGCCGCACCCGAAGCACAGGAAACCUAGGCAGCCUAGACCCAUCGGUCUUCCUCCCAUUGUCAAACCCCCAGUUCCCUUGCCACCAGUCACUCUCCCUCCGGUGACCGUCCCGCCGAUCAAGCCACCAGUCGACCUCCCCACUCUCCCACCAGUUGCACUGCCUCCAGUUCUCCCUAAUCCACCAAGUGCUAGGAAGCCAUGCCCAUGUUCAUACACACCACCUCCACCAGCGGCUGCCACAUGCCCCAUUGACACCCUCAAAUUGGGUGCUUGUGUGGACCUUCUUGGUGGGUUGGUUCACAUUGGUCUUGGUGACCCAGUUGUUAACCAAUGCUGCCCAGUUC